UGCGAGUGCCUCAAGCGUUAUCCGGAAUUAUUGGGCGUAAAGAGCUCGUAGGCGGUUUGUCGCGUCUGCUGUGAAAACCCGAGGCUCAACCUCGGGCCUGCAGUGGGUACGGGCAGACUAGAGUGCGGUAGGGGAGAUUGGAAUUCCUGGUGUAGCGGUGGAAUGCGCAGAUAUCAGGAGGAACACCAAUGGCGAAGGCAGAUCUCUGGGCCGUAACUGACGCUGAGGAGCGAAAGCAUGGGGAGCGAACAGG
RNAcentral lists this ribosomal RNA (253 nucleotides) under uncultured bacterium. RNAcentral describes it as "partial 16S ribosomal RNA". It matches the Rfam family "Bacterial small subunit ribosomal RNA", at positions 524 to 776 of the family's 1533-position model. The record is from RNAcentral.